CCUACACAUGCAGUCGAACGAACCUUUCGGGGUUAGUGGCGGACGGGUGAGUAACACGUGGGAACGUGCCUUUAGGUUCGGAAUAACUCAGGGAAACUUGUGCUAAUACCGAAUGUGCCCUUCGGGGGAAAGAUUUAUCGCCUUUAGAGCGGCCCGCGUCUGAUUAGCUAGUUGGUUGAGGUAAUGGCUCACCAAGGCGACGAUCAGUAGCUGGUCUGAGAGGAUGAUCAGCCACAUUGGGACUGAGACACGGCCCAAACUCCUACGGGAGGCAGCAGUGGGGAAUCUUGCGCAAUGGGCGAAAGCCUGACGCAGCCAUGCCGCGUGAAUGAUGAAGGUCUUAGGAUUGUAAAAUUCUUUCACCGGGGACGAUAAUGACGGUACCCGGAGAAGAAGCCCCGGCUAACUUCGUGCCAGCAGCCGCGGUAAUACGGAGGGGGCUAGCGUUGCUCGGAAUUACUGGGCGUAAAGGGAGCGUAGGCGGACAUUUAAGUCAGGGGUGAAAUCCCGGGGCUCAACCUCGGAAUUGCCUUUGAUACUGGGUGUCUUGAGUAUGAGAGAGGUGUGUGGAACUCCGAGUGUAGAGGUGAAAUUCGUAGAUAUUCGGAAGAACACCAGUGGCGAAGGCGACACACUGGCUCAUUACUGACGCUGAGGCUCGAAAGCGUGGGGAGCAAACAGGAUUAGAUACCCUGGUAGUCCACGCCGUAAACGAUGAUUGCUAGUUGUCGGGAUGCA
This 738-nucleotide ribosomal RNA is filed under the name uncultured bacterium. RNAcentral describes it as "bacterial SSU rRNA". It matches the Rfam family "Bacterial small subunit ribosomal RNA", at positions 48 to 832 of the family's 1533-position model. The record is from RNAcentral.